GUGCUCUCUUUAGCAGCAGCACGUAGCCUAAAACUGGAACAAUUCAAAGAAUAGCAUGGUCCCUAUACAAGGGGGACACACAAAUUUAUGAAAUGUCCCAUUAAAAA
Small nuclear RNA from Canis lupus familiaris (dog), 107 nucleotides. NCBI's taxonomy places the organism in Eukaryota, Metazoa, Chordata, Mammalia, Carnivora, Canidae. The record is from RefSeq and is a predicted model, not a curated record.